This 216-nucleotide ribosomal RNA is filed under the name Glomeromycotina sp. Its description in RNAcentral is "partial small subunit ribosomal RNA". The stretch from base 40 to 216 matches the Rfam family "Eukaryotic small subunit ribosomal RNA", at positions 686 to 864 of the family's 1831-position model. Lineage: Eukaryota; Fungi; Glomeromycota. The record is from RNAcentral.
CCGUCAGUAGGUUGGUCGUGCCACCGGUACGUACUGGUCUCACUGAUUCCUCCUUCCUGAAGAACGGUAAUGCCAUUAAUUUGGUGUUGCGGGGAAACAGGACUGUUACUUUGAAAAAAUUAGAGUGUUUAAAGCAAGCUAACGCUUGAAUACAUUAGCAUGGAAUAAUGAAAUAGGACGAUCGAUCCUAUUUUGUUGGUUUCUAGGAUUGACGUA